Molecule: ribosomal RNA, 256 nt
Filed under: uncultured bacterium
Lineage: Bacteria
Description: partial 16S ribosomal RNA
Rfam family: Bacterial small subunit ribosomal RNA
Source: RNAcentral
UAAUACGGAGGGUGCGAGCGUUAAUCGGAAUUACUGGGCGUAAAGGGUGCGUAGGUGGUUUAAUAAGUUAGUUGUGAAAGCCCUGGGCUCAACCUGGGAAGGUCAACUAAGACUGUUAGACUUGAGUAUGGGAGAGGGUAGUGGAAUUUCCGGUGUAGCGGUGAAAUGCGUAGAGAUCGGAAGGAACACCAGUGGCGAAGGCGGCUACCUGGCCUAAUACUGACACUGAGGCACGAAAGCGUGGGGAGCAAACAGG